Cydia fagiglandana is the source of this 3738-nucleotide long non-coding RNA. RefSeq lists it as uncharacterized. NCBI's taxonomy places the organism in Eukaryota, Metazoa, Arthropoda, Insecta, Lepidoptera, Tortricidae. The record is from RefSeq and is a predicted model, not a curated record. The transcript is spliced from 2 exons.
UAUUUCGAAGAAUAUUUUUAAAUGUAAACUAAAUAAUAUCUAAAAUUAUUGAGUAGAUUAAAAUUUAUUUCAAUGCAACUUGGCCUGAUUGAAUGGACUUUUAGAGGAUAUUUUUACAUUAAAAAAAAGAAAAAAUCUUAGAUCGACAUUAGUCUUUUCUAAAAUUUACAAAAUAAAUUCUAGUCAACUUUUUUACGAUCAGCCUCUAGUCUUAAGGCUCCGUCACACAGGUGCGUUUUGGGGCCGGCGCGUGAGCGGGGCGCGCAGCUUUUACAUUUAAAACGCCCCGCCCGGAAACGCGCCUGUGUGACGGAACCUUUAUAGUACCUACAAUAUCGAUAAGAAUCUGCCAUCUACCCCUAUAUUUAAAAGUAUAAAACUUUGCUUCUAUGAUAGGUACUUAAAAACCAAUCCAGACGGGAUGAUCAAAUCGGCCAAUUUGAUUAGAAACCAAAUUGGCGUCAAUCUCCAAUUAAAUCAUCAAUUUAUGGUAAUAUUUAAGCUUUCUUAAUUAAAAAAAUGCACCCAAACGAAAAUACUAGAAUUAUCAUAGUUGCAAAUUGGUAUUCUUGCGUCCGCACCUCCAUUUUAUCGGUACCGGUCAUAAUCGGCGGUCGAAAUUGACGAGCCAAAUUGGCGUUUGUCGGACGGCCUGAUUUGAUCGGACAAUUUAAUCAGAUUGGCUCCCGUCUGGGCGGGCUUUAACAAAGUCCGCCAAUAGUAAAAUUAUAUAUGUAAUACAAAUAGCGCUCAAAUGGGCCCCUGAACUAAUAAUUAAGAUUCAAAAUACAUAGUAUUGUAUAACCAAUUUUGUAAGAAUAUCUUGAUGCUUGUAAAUUGCAAGGUUGUAAUAAAAACUGGCUGCAAAUGUCAGAAAGAACUAUAUCGGACUUUUACCGUUAGCAAUUAAGUACCGGUAUUAAAUACUCCGGUACCAGUAUCAAAUACUAUCGGUAAUUACGAUACACGUUGUGCAGUGUUAUGAGUUGGUUAUAAAAUAAAACUGCUGAAAACAUUACCGGUAUUAAAUUUUGCUUUAUGUGCGAAAGUGCAAUUUAAAGAUAUUGUGGGUGUUUUAGUUCUUCUGGUAUUGCGAAAGAAAGAAUCAUUAAAUACUAUUUAGCCCACUAACUAUCUAUAUAUGUGUGAGCAGUAUUACUGAAUCUUCGUUUUUAUAGGAUGUGAAUAUCGUUAUCGACAUACAUUGUAUCAUUAUAUAUGUCGGCGGCCGAUCGUAAGAUCAGGCAUGUCGUUAAAUUCGUAGGCAUAUCGUGAAACGUGAAAAUCUUUAACUCGUUCCCUGAGCCGACGGAGCCCCGCUAGGGGCUCCUAUUUCUGGGCAGUUUGCCCUUCGGGCAUCUGAAGCAACCUAACGAACCUAUGCUACCUAUAUAUUGGUUUAAUGUGACUAUCGUCAAAACAUUACACAGGAACAUUGCGAUCUGCCUGAUCUUACGAUCGGCCCCCGACAUAUACGCACAUUUUCAUCUAUUGCAUAGGAAGAGAUGCUUUGUCUGUAACUAUAGAAGUGUGCUAGAACGUACGUAUUAAGGCCUCUCCACACGUCACAAUAAUCGCAUGCGAUUUGCAAUACAUUGCGGCAUUUGGUCGAUCGAUUCAAUUCGUUGCUCCAACUUAGCCAGCAAUUAUCUAAAAUGGCAUGCCGUUUGUUGUAACGUCUGUAGAAGCUUUUGUUCAACUUAAAAGCCGUUACAGACGGGCGUACCGGACCGCGACCGUGGCCCGGUUUGAGGCCUGUUCAAUCGUGUGUCAAGUGUGUGUGGUCCGCCGUAUGUCCGUUAAUGAUGCAGCUAUACGUAAGAGCGAGAAAGAGAUAUUUUGACCGGACCAAGGUCACGGUCCUGUACGACCGUCUGUUAUAGCUUUAACGUUGAAGAUACUAUCGUUAGUUAAAUGUUUGUUGAAUCGCCCUCAGUGUUGUAGUUUACACGCACUGUGUAGAUCUAUGUCAUAAAUGGCAAAAUAUCUAAGUGUUGUGUGCCUAGAUCAAAGAAAUAGGUUCUCGGUACAAAAGUUGCCCUUUCACUCAACAUGUCUUAACACAUUCACUCCCAAGAACCCGCUAAGUGGGUUCAUUUUAUAUUGGAAGUGGGGCUGAAAGUGUAUACCACCGGUAGGUUUAACUACACGGUAGAAACUUCUCUAAAACUUAUUUCUAAACUAUGUUUUAUCAAGCAGAUACGUCUUGUAGCGACUAAAAAAAAAUUAAAAGCAAAAUCAUAAAAUGCACUGCUUAUGGCAAGAUUCAAAGUUGCGAUGUUUCUGAUGUCUCUAGGCGUGUACCGGUAUCCCAAAAGCUUGCAAGUCCGAAUCUUGCCAAAAGCAGUGAAUUUUUCCUUUUUUCUAAAGUUAUUACAUACUAAACAUUUUACUUAGGGGCUGUCUAUAAAUUACGUCAUCGAUUUUUGACGAUUUUUGGACCUCAUCCAUGGAAAUCAUGCUUCGAAUGACCCUGUUUCCUCCUACGUCGUGCUACCAUCAUCCGAUGUCCAGACCCCCUCCCCUUCCUAAUUUGUAAUGACAUAAUUUAUGAAUAGCCCCCUAUCAGAACAGGUGAUUCUUAAAUUUUGCUUUUGUAGUUUUGUACGAAAAGUAUAAGUACGAAAAGUAUAAAUAUAUGUACCGGGAACUUUUUUCUACCCCAGCACCUAGUUUAAGUGACUGGGCAUAACGACAUCAGUCAUUAGAUUCAUUAGUACUCUUGUGACCAAAGAAACUAAUAUAUUUUUGUAGUAAUAAUGAAUUUUACAUGAACUUUUUCUAAUGAUAAACUUUGGAUCCGACCACAUAGCAGCACCUACUUAUCUGGUAAUCCUGAACUCUCUGCCUUAUGCUCUGGGCUAUAACUGCGAAAAUCGAAGUUCGCAAUUUGUGGGCAUUUUUCUUUGUCACUCUAAUUACGCCUUCAUUGGAGUAAAAGAGAAAGAUCCCCGCAAUUUGCGAAUUUCGGUUUUCGCGGUAAUCCAUCUGGCACCGAUAAUCGAUUCAGUCGAUUAAAAUCGUUAUUUAUACAUUAAAUACUUAGCCAGCAUUUAGCCUGGUGAGAGUCUUUUGACGUUUUAAUUUUCUACAGUUAGGUAACGUGAUGAUUUCCUUUAGCUAGUUAACUAUUAGGUUUCUAGGUUUCAAUUUUCUGUAUACCGGUACCGGUAUCAAAAAGCAUUUGACCGGGAAACCGGAUAAAUGGUGUUGCUUAUGUAAUUUAGAAAUUAUAAAAUCAAGUAUCAAAAUUGGUUGUGUCCACCAAUGUUGCCGUCUAUAGUUUUGCCAUUUUGUAAGAAAAAUAUAUGUAAAAUGGUGUUUUAGUGUUUAGUGGUACCGAGCCAUUUGCCAUUACUUAUAGUUACAUAAUAAAACAGGCACAAAUAUAGAUGGUCAAGCAGAUCUUGUCUGUAGAAAAAGGCGCGAAAUUCAAAUUUUCUAUCAAACGAUUUCCCUUCGCGCCUACAUUUUUCAAAUUCGCCGCCUUUUUCUACUGACAAGAUCUGCUUGACGAACUAUAUGUACUCUUAUUUCUAUAUUGCUUUUUACCUCAAUUUUUAGUUUUUUUUUAUUUCAUUACGAAAUAAAGUACUUAUUCGUGCGUAGUUGAUUGCCAACAAUGUCCCUUAUCUCCAUGCACUAGGGUUCUUAUCUGAGUGUACAUAGGAGGCUGUUCUGUCUACAAUGGAUAUGUCAUUUUGUAAAAGCUUUUGUAAUAAACUUUCCUAAUGUAAA